GAACAUUUAGAAGGAUUAUUGAAUAGACAGUUCAUAUUUACCUAGAUUUCACAUUUUUAAGCAGUUCCUUAAAUUUCUUCCCAUCUGACUUGAAGGGGACAUGGCUUCAGUUUAUUCUCCUGGAGGUGUUCAUAAUCUCUGAGAACACCUCUACUUUUUUCCUUCUGGCAAUAUUUCCUUGUACUGGACAGAAAUGAACACUGGGAAGACAGAUUAUCAGAGGAAGGUGACUAGGAUAUUCUACUCCAAACAACUACUCCUCCAUCAGACCACUGUCGGCCCAGGACUUUUGAACCUUAUGAAAGACAUUUUUGAGGUUUAGAAUCCAAGAUUAUUUAUAUAAAACCAAAUUCUACAGGGCUAGCUCAAGGAGAUCUAUGAAUACUCAGAAGAAUUCAUUCAAUAAUCUUUGCUAACAGAAAAAAGAAAGGUCUGGGAAUGUCAUCUUUUAAGGAGACUUUCUCUGCUAUAUUUCCAUCUACUGAUUUUCCCACUGAGUUGUUACUUUCAAAUGCUGUGAAGAAUGGAACUCAUUGUAUGUAUAUGUGUAUACAUACAUGUAUGUAUAGACAUUUUCCACUGAACUUCAGGUAACAAUUGUCUGUCAUCCCUAAGAAAACUG
RNAcentral lists this long non-coding RNA (622 nucleotides) under Sarcophilus harrisii (Tasmanian devil). RNAcentral's name for it is "lncRNA (ENSSHAG00000026687.1)". The record is from RNAcentral. Lineage: Eukaryota; Metazoa; Chordata; Mammalia; Dasyuromorphia; Dasyuridae.